AGAAGAAAAAAAAAAGAUAAAGAAAACACCAAAAUUGCUUAACUCCUUCUACGCCAAGAAUUCAUCAUCCGGAGAAAAAUUAAGCUUUGCCCAAAGCUAAUAUCAUCUUUCAUCACUACUCUCUCUUGAUUAAGGUAAUAUUUGAUCUCGGAGUUACAAUGAAGAUCACAUCGAAAAACUAACAUUGAACAAAAAUCGCGGUCGUGAACAACAGUAAGGACUGAGGCAGACGUGGGACCCGGUGACAGCUCAAUUUCCAGAUCAUGUAUAAUUAUCUUUAUCGUAUUUCUCUCUCGAAAAUAAAGAGUGGUAGACCUUGGACUUUUGUAUUAUAGUUUUCGUAUCACUCAUAUUAUAUACUGGUAUCUUGCGUACGUAUGUAAACGUACUUAUGUAUUUGAUCA
Long non-coding RNA from Tarenaya hassleriana, 404 nucleotides. RefSeq lists it as uncharacterized. The record is from RefSeq and is a predicted model, not a curated record. The transcript is spliced from 3 exons. NCBI's taxonomy places the organism in Eukaryota, Viridiplantae, Streptophyta, Magnoliopsida, Brassicales, Cleomaceae.